Molecule: small nucleolar RNA, 109 nt
Filed under: Dichanthelium oligosanthes
Lineage: Eukaryota; Viridiplantae; Streptophyta; Magnoliopsida; Poales; Poaceae
Source: RNAcentral
CUGUAUGAGUUGCAUCCUGCUCUAAAUAUGGGCAGACAAUAAGUUUGAUGGAAUUUAGGUGAACAAUAUGUGAGUCAUACAUAUGCCCAUAAAGGACCAUCACACACAC